Long non-coding RNA from Girardinichthys multiradiatus, 1180 nucleotides. RefSeq lists it as uncharacterized. The transcript is spliced from 5 exons. NCBI's taxonomy places the organism in Eukaryota, Metazoa, Chordata, Actinopteri, Cyprinodontiformes, Goodeidae. The record is from RefSeq and is a predicted model, not a curated record.
CAGAGAUAUACACCAAUACAAAAACCUCAGAACAAAAACCUGAAAGAAAUCCAUCAUUAUGCAAAGAACAAAUUGAUGAAAUCCAACAUGUCUUUUUGGGAUAUGAGGUAGAAACCCUGUUUAACAAUUUUAAUGAGCUUCUUGUUUUUGUUGAAGCAGUCAGUGAAGCUGUAACACUGUGAUUCGGGUUUAGACGUCUGGGGUAAAGGAACCACAGUUACUGUUAAAUCAGAAGGUCCAGAUGUGACUCCAACCCUCUACGUCCUGAAUCCCCAGAAACCCGGCAACACCCUGAACAAAGCGGAUCAGCUGAAUUCAGAUGUCUGUCUGGUCACAGAUUUCCAUCCGAAGGUGGAUGACGUGGUUCCAAAGGUGACAGGUGGUCCGGUCAGUGUGACCACUGAUGAUGCUGUUUCCUCAAAGAAUAACAAAUACAAUGCAGCAUUGAGAAACAAAACCAUCCACUCCUGUGGGAUGAACGGGAUGUUCAGUGAUGAAGCAGAUGAUGCAUGUGGGAACAUUUAUCCAGAAAAAGCCAAGCUGAACUUCUACCUGCUGCUGAUGAACGGAGUCCGAGUGGUGUUCACCAAAGCUCUGGCCUUCAGCACCAUCCUCACCAUCAGAGGCCUGAUCUUCUGACAAUGAGCCUUAAAGGCCACCAUACAGACAAAUUGUCUACACCUUAAAAAUACUGGAAUACAAUAAAUUUUAAUUAAUUCUCUUCAGUUUAAUAAAAAUGCAAACUAUAAUGAAAAUAAUCACAAAGAAAAUAAUUAAGUUGAAAGUCAAAUAUAGACUAAUGUUAAAACCAUAAACAGAAUCUAAGUAUGCUGAAAUAAUGAUGUUAAUAAUUUGUAGGUUGAGAAUAUUUUUUUUAUUAUUUUUAAUUUACAUUUGUAUUACAGAGAUUGCAUUGUUUUAUCACAAAUAUAAUUGUCUGUCAGUAUAAAACAUUUUUACAAAUGCAAAAUUUUAUGUUUUGAAUUUGAAGAUCUUUCUUUUUGUAAUGUGUUUAAAAUCCAAUUUAGGGUGUAUUUUUAAAUGUAGAGUUUGUGUCAUUAUCUUCCAUUAUGCAUUAGUGUUUGUUAAAUCUGAGACAUGUACAAGGAAGCAUUUUAUCUAAAAUUCUUCUGUUUUUUUUUUUUUUUUAUGUAUUUAUGUUUGAAGACUGUUGAAGCAA